CACACUGGGACUGAGACACUGCCCAGACUCCUACGGGAGGCUGCAGUCGAGAAUCUUUCGCAAUGGGGGAAACCCUGACGAAGCGACGCCGCGUGGAGGAUGAAGGCCCUCGGGUUGUAAACUCCUGUCACUUGGGAUGAAAAGUGGGGCCAUUAAUACCGGUUCUGCCUGACAGUACCUUGAAAGGAAGCUCCGGCUAACUACGUGCCAGCAGCCGCGGUAAUACGUAGGGAGCAAGCGUUGUUCGGAUUUACUGGGCGUAAAGGGUGUGUAGGUUGCUUGGUAAGUCAGUUGUGAAAUCCUUACUGCUCAACAGAAGAAUUGCAAUUGAUACUACCAGGCUAGAGUUCGGUAGAGGAGAGCGGAAUUCUCGGUGUAGCGGUGAAAUGCGUAGAUAUCGAGAAGAACACCAGUGGCGUAGGCGGCUCUCUAGCCCGAUACUGACACUGAAACACGAAAGCGUGGGUAGCGAACGGGAUUAGAUACCCCGGUAGUCCACGCCGUAAACGAUGGGUACUAGGUGCAGGUGGUAUCGAUCCCUUCUGUGCCGAAGCAAACGCGUUAAGUACCCCGCCUGGGGAGUACGGCCGCAAGGCUAAAACUCAAAGGAAUAGACGGGGGCCCGCACAAGCGGUGGAGCAUGUGGUUUAAUACGACGCAACGCGUAGAACCUUACCAGGGCUUGACAUGCUGGUGGUACUGGCUCCGAAAGGAGACAGGACCCUUCGGGGAGCCAACACAGAUGUUGCACGGCUGUCGUCAGCUCGUGUCGUGAGAUGUUGGGUUAAGUCCCGCAACGAGCGCAACCCUUGUCCUUAGUUGCCAGCAGGUAAUGCUGGGGACUCUAAGGAGACUGCCUGUGAUAAGCAGGAGGAAGGUGAGGAUGACGUCAAGUCAUUGUGGCUCUUACGCCCUGGGCUACACACGUGCUACAAUGGUCGAUACAAUGGGUAGCAAUGCCGCGAGGUGGAGCCAAUCCCCAAAAGUCGGCCUCAGUUCGGAUUGGAGUCUGCAACUCGACUCCAUGAAGUCGGAAUCGCUAGUAAUGGCGCAUCAGCUACGGCGCCGUGAAUACGUUCCCGGGCCUUGUACUCACCGUCCGUCACAUCACCUGAGUUGAUUGCACCUGAAGUCACUGGUCUAACCUUCGGGAGGA
This 1156-nucleotide ribosomal RNA is filed under the name uncultured organism. RNAcentral's name for it is "bacterial SSU rRNA". It matches the Rfam family "Bacterial small subunit ribosomal RNA", at positions 309 to 1450 of the family's 1533-position model. The record is from RNAcentral.